GAUCUCUUCCAGAUCUCUCCUGGCUUCUAGUUGCCUCUGGCAUUUCUUGGCUUGUGGCUAGCUGUUUUUUCCCUCUCUCUCUUCCUGUGAUGUUCUCCUGUGUCCAUGUUUGUCUCUGUGUUCAAAAUUUGCCCUAUCUAUAAGGACACCAGUCAGAUUGGAUUAGGGUUCAUGCUAAUGACCUCAUUUGGACUUGAUUACCUCUGUAAAUACCUUAUUUCCAAAUACAACAUUCUAAGAUACUAGAGAUUAUGUAUGUUAGGGAACUAACAUAAGCUUUUUGGGGGACAGGAUUCAAAUCUUAAUGCUCACCAACUCCAUUUCCUUUUCAUGGGCACCCGCAGGCCAGAUUUCCUGAUCCCUAUUGCAGUUAGGUCAGGCCAUCUUCUUGGUUCUGGCCAUAUGAAUGUGGUGGGAGUGAUGUGUACUGAGCCUGAUCGUAGACCAUGUUGGAUGUUUUUCUUCAGCUUUGCUGCUCACUCACUGGCUGCCUGAAUGUAGAGGGUGCUGAGGAAGUGCUGGAAGAUCUCAACAACACAAGAUGGAGAAGCCUGAUACCGAAUCACCAGGGAAGAAGGGUGCUAGAGCCAGGAAACUACUCUCUCAGUGAGAAAUAGAGGAAGAAACCACUUGAAUCACAACUGAAAUAUUCAACCCAAUCAAAGCAACCUUCAUGAGCUGACAAGUAGCCACAGCUUUGAGAGUCCGUGCAAAAAAAUGCAAACACAUUGCCUUUCUGUGAUUUGUGACCGAAGAGUCUUGGGGCAUUGCACAAGAUGAAGAAUAAUCCUCCAUCCUGUGAGAUUGGGCCCCUAAGGUAGAAAUACAUUGGCACUUCUAAAUUGCAGCUGAUAGGAAUAUGAAAAUAAGAUAUUAAAUGUCAGCAGGUAGCAGGUCACUUGCAAGGCAGCUGCUGAAGACUUUACUGCUUGUACAUGAACCCUGACUAUUCUUCAGCUCAUAUCAGGACCCUCAAGAACAGUACCUGAGGGUCACCACCUGGCUCUGAGAAUGAAGCAGGUGAACAUUGUGAAACGAAACAGCGAAACCGGUAAUCCCACAAAGGAAAAUCGGCAAAUUCAUAGUCACAGCAAGGGGCUGAACAUCUCCCCCUCAGAAAUCAACCAAGAAACCACUUGGUAAGGAGGAGGGAUAUGGAGGAGUUGUGCAAUGCAGCUAGCAAGCCUGAUUGAAUAGCUCCACAAAGAAGCCUGCACCAUACACACGAAACUAUAUAUCAUUUUCAAGCACACAUAAUGCAGCCACAAAAAUUUACCAUGUGCUAGACCACAGUGGGAAUGUCAGCAAAUUCCAUAAAGGUGAUGUUAUACAGGCUUCAUUUACUUAUGCAUCAACAAUUACAAGAAAUUCUACUACUCAAAAAAAAUUGCAAUAUACAUGGAAAUAAAACACACAAAUACACACAAUUGCAGAUAAUUAUUAGGUUAAAGUGACAAUUGAUAUGAAACAUAAAUUAUUUGGAGCCGAAUAAACAAAGGACUAAAUAGCAAAACUAGUGGGAUAUGACUGAAGAAAAGAUAUGAGAAGUGGAAUGUGAGAAGAAAAGAUAUAAACUUAAACGUGUCUAUAGGGAAAGUGAAAGUGAAAGUCACUCACUCAUGUCCAACUCUUUGUGACUGCACGGACUGUAGUCCAUGGAAUUCUCCAGGCCAGAACACUGGAGUGGGUAGCUGUUCCCUUCUCCAGAUUAGUAAAGAAUAUAGAAAAUAAAUUAUCUUUGCUUUUAAGACUAGAGUCUAGAGGAGCAAAGCAAAGUAAACAUAAAUUAGAAGAAAGAGAUUAAUAUAAAUGAAAGCAUAAACCAUCUAACUAUAAAAAAUUAAAAAUGGAUAAGUAGAAACAAUAACCCAUACUUUGAAAAGAAUAGUAAGUUACUCUAGCAUGUAUGACCAAGGUUUAAAAAAAUGCAAAUCAUCGUUAGAAAUGAAAAAUGAAACAAGGACAACACAGACUGAAACAUUGUAAGAAAACAAUAAACUGCAAAGCAGCACAUUUGUAAAUGCAAAUUAAUGAUAAUUGAUUCCAAAAAAAUAAAUUUCAAAUGUGUAUACUAUAUAAUUUUUUAAAGUUUAUUAUAGUCCAAAAAUACAUUUUAAAUUAAUGGUAAUUAAAAUAUAUUCUCCAAGAGAAUUAAAAAAAAAAAAAGAGGAGAGGAAGGGAACCUAGCCAAAAUGUUCCAGGUGAGUAAAAGUUGAGUGACAAAAGAAGUAUUUUCUUUAGGGCAUGUUUAGACUAUGGUAUUCUGUGCCAGGCAAGUUUUAGGAAGAGAAGGUGGGAAAUGAGAUUCCUGCCAGGGAAGAGGCAAGAGAAGCAGUUCAUUUCAGUUCAGUUCAGUCACUCAGUCAUGUCCAACUCUUUGUGACCACAUGGACUGCAGCCCGCCAGGCUUCCCUGUCCAUCACCAACUCCCAGAGCUUGCUCAAACUCAUGUCCAUCGAGUCGAUGAUGCCAUCCAGCCAUCUCAUCCUCUCUUGUCCCCUUCUCCUCCUGCCUUCAAGUUGUUCCCAGAGAGAAGCAGUGCUUCCAACAGAAAAAAUAAGUAAUAUUAUUUAUUAAUAUUUGUCAAUACUGAAACCUCUAAGUCCUAAAAAGCCAUUCUGUUGUGUGUGUGUGUGUUUUUUUUUUUCUGUUCUGACCCAAAUCUCAGAAUCUAGUCUAUCUUGAGGGUGUUUAUUUUUUUAUUUUUUAUUUUUUGAGUGAGUUUAAUUUUAAAUACUUGGAAGCUCUACCAGACCUCCAAGAGUUCAAGAAAAUAAAAAUAACUACUACCAACACAACACUGUAAAGCAAUUAUCUUCCAAUCAAAAAAUUAAAAAAACACAAUAUCAAAAAAUCAAGUUUGAUAAUUAUGUUAUUCAAACCAUCUAAACUUGUAUUUAUUACGUAUUAACUUAAUUGUCAAAUUCUGAAAGCUAUAGGUCAUAGGACCCAGCUAUUGUUAUGAUAUGGCCAAAUCAUUUCUAUCUUUACCUUAUAUAUUUUCAUGUUUACUUGUUAAUUGACAAACUCAAAAGUGUACAUUAAAAUAUGGUAAUUUGUCAAGCAGAAUAAAACAUAAAUUACAAUAAAAAAGAAUAACUUCUAUUAGUAAUAGUUUCC
Long non-coding RNA from Cervus elaphus (red deer), 3120 nucleotides. RefSeq lists it as uncharacterized. The record is from RefSeq and is a predicted model, not a curated record. The transcript has 6 exons. NCBI's taxonomy places the organism in Eukaryota, Metazoa, Chordata, Mammalia, Artiodactyla, Cervidae.